Molecule: transfer RNA, 78 nt
Filed under: Burkholderiales bacterium
Lineage: Bacteria; Pseudomonadati; Pseudomonadota; Betaproteobacteria; Burkholderiales
Also listed under: 5 other names
Description: tRNA-Met
Rfam family: tRNA
About the family: Transfer RNA (tRNA) molecules are approximately 80 nucleotides in length. Their secondary structure includes four short double-helical elements and three loops (D, anti-codon, and T loops).
Source: RNAcentral
GGGCCUCUAGCUCAUGAUGGUUAGAGCAGCGGACUCAUAAUCCGUUGGUGCCGGGUUCGACUCCCGGGGGGCCCACCA